ACAUGUCUUUAUGAAUAUAAUUUAAAGUUYAAUCUGCUCCAUGAUUAAUUUAUUAAAUAGCUGCAGUAUUUUGACUGUACAAAGGUAGCAUAAUCAAUAGUUUUUUAAUUAAAAGCUGGAAUGAAGGAUUUGAUAAGGUAAAUAUUGUCUCAAUUUUAAUAAAUUUAUAAUUUUUUUUUUAGUAAAAAUACUAAAUUGAAUUUAAAAGACGAGAAGACCCUAUAGAUUUUUAUAUUUUUUAAUUUAAUAAAUUUAAAUUAAUUUUUUUUUUAAGUUAAAAAUUUAUUUGGUUGGGGAAAUUAUUAAAUUAAUAAAAUUUUAAUAAUUAAUAAACAAAAAUUAUUGAGUUUAUGAUCUUAAUGUUUUGGAUAAAUAGAAUAAAUUACCUUAGGGAUAACAGCGUAAUUUUUUUGGAGAGAUCAUAUUGAUAAAAAAGUUUGCGACCUCGAUGUUGAAUUAAGAUAAAAUUUUAAUGGAGAAAUUAAAAAUUUUUGGUCUGUUCGACCAUUAAAAUCUUACGU
RNAcentral lists this ribosomal RNA (521 nucleotides) under Cryptus australis. RNAcentral's name for it is "partial 16S large subunit ribosomal RNA". The stretch from base 393 to 521 matches the Rfam family "Archaeal large subunit ribosomal RNA", at positions 2544 to 2672 of the family's 2987-position model. The record is from RNAcentral. Lineage: Eukaryota; Metazoa; Arthropoda; Insecta; Hymenoptera; Ichneumonidae.